Long non-coding RNA from Cotesia glomerata, 518 nucleotides. RefSeq lists it as uncharacterized. The transcript has 2 exons. Lineage: Eukaryota; Metazoa; Arthropoda; Insecta; Hymenoptera; Braconidae. The record is from RefSeq and is a predicted model, not a curated record.
CACAAACUAAUUACUUUUUUAUUUCCAGAUUUGAAAUCGAUGACGCAAUGGGACCGGGUAUUGCUGGAGCGUUUCAUCAUGCUGACGUGUCUGAUGGAACGAUUUACACAUAGAUGACGUACGAGAUUUGUUAGAAUAGCAACCGUUUGGCUGACGCAAAGGGACCGUCACAUUGACUGUCACUGUUUAGAGGUCAACCAAGGGCAUCGAAUUGUAGUUGGAUGUUAAUAAACAUUUCAAAUUAUUUAAAAGAUUAGAGUUGAGAAAUUGUUUACCAGAAUGAAGAACCCAUUCAAACUAUUGAUCAAUUCAUUUCGUUCAAAGUUUAUGGGGGCUAAGAAUUGGAGCAAGGGAUCAAAGCCGUUAACUUGUGCUUUUGCUCCCAAAUUGUCUAUAAUAUAAUAGUGCAUAGAUUCUCCGAAAAUAAAAACCAUUAUACCAAUCUAAUGAAAGAAUUCAUGAAUUCUUGAAAUUUGUAUAACCAAUCAAUUAUUAUAAAAUAUAUAUUUUUAAAAAUU